This 392-nucleotide ribosomal RNA is filed under the name uncultured bacterium. Its description in RNAcentral is "bacterial SSU rRNA". It matches the Rfam family "Bacterial small subunit ribosomal RNA", at positions 335 to 719 of the family's 1533-position model. The record is from RNAcentral.
ACUCCUACGGGAGGCAGCAGUGGGGAAUAUUGCACAAUGGGGGAAACCCUGAUGCAGCCAUGCCGCGUGUGUGAAGAAGGCCUUGGGUUGUAAAGCACUUUCAGUAGGGAGGAAGGUAGUGUAGUUAACACCUGUACUAUUUGUACGUUACCUACAGAAGAAGCACCGGCUAACUCCGUGCCAGCAGCCGCGGUAAGUACGGAGGGUGCGAGCGUUAAUCGGAAUUACGUGGGCGUAAAGCGCAUGCAGGCGGCCUGUUAAGUCAGAUGUGAAAGCCCGGGGCUUAACCUCGGAAUUGCAUUUGAAACUGGCAGGCUAGAGUCUGUAGAGGGGUUAGAAUUUCAGGUGUAGCGGUGAAAUGCGUAGAGAUCUGAAGGAAUACCAGUGGCGAA